RNAcentral lists this ribosomal RNA (229 nucleotides) under uncultured bacterium. Its description in RNAcentral is "partial 16S ribosomal RNA". It matches the Rfam family "Bacterial small subunit ribosomal RNA", at positions 568 to 796 of the family's 1533-position model. The record is from RNAcentral.
UACGUAGGCGGAAGAUUAAGUCAGUGGUGAAAUCCUGCAGCUUAACUGUAGAACUGUCAUUGAUACUGGUUUUCUUGAAUUUAGUUGAGGUAGGCGGAAUGUGUAAUGUAGCGGUGAAAUGCUUAGAUAUUACACAGAACACCGAUUGCGAAGGCAGCUUACUAAACUAUGAUUGGCGCUGAGGUACGAAAGCGUGGGGAGCGAACAGGAUUAGAUACCCUGGUAGUCC